UGAAAACAAAGGUAAAAGUCAUUAUGGUCACUAGAAAGUGAUGGAAAGUUGCAGAGCCUAUCAACCUUCUUUUGUGAGCCAACAAAAGCGGUUGAUGCUCAACAGUCUUACUGCUUACUGUGUCAACUGUCUACUGUGGAAUGUGAGCAAAUGCCAAAGGAGGGCCUGCCCAGCUCUACUCUUGAAUGACAUGUCCUGUUACUCCAGUGGGCAAUCAACCCUGAUCUGCCCUCAGAAAUGCCCUGCAUCUUGCAAGGUCCUUCCCCCAGAAAGCCAAGAACUGUUCUCAACAAAGCCGGUGAAAAGUUUCCUCAAAAAUCCAGGGUAAAAUACAGUAUAUGUCUCUUCAUGCUGUGAAAGGGCUUUCUAUUUUAUUGCCUGAAAGCAGUAUUUUGAUAUUCAAUAUUUAUUCAGUAAAUUUUCAAGUAUUUUAUUUGCCCUUCCAUUAACAAUGAUGUAUUGCUCUGCUUUAGUUGAUAUAUUAUCAAGGUAAAAGUCUGUUUGUCCUUCUUAAAUAACCAAAGGAAAGAAUGAACCUCCUGUAUUACCGAUAAAUAUAGUUCAAUGGGACAAAAAUAGGAUGAAGAAAAUCAGUUUGGAAGCAUUUUAAGACAUCCUUUCUUUUCUGUUGUUAGUGUUUGAUUCCCAUUUUUUUAAUUGACUUAAAUAAUUGAUGAGUAUCCAGUUUGACACUUUGAAUUAUGUUUUUGAAGUUCUUUCCUCAAGCUCUUAUAUGCUUUCAUUUUCUGAGAAAAGCAUUUGUCUGUACCAGUGAGUACUCUGUUCCCAAUGAACUAUGAGAGCUAUGCUUCCCUUGAGAAACUGCCCCUCACCAAGCAGCAAGCUCUGAUGCGCUGCAUGAUGUGACUGAAGACAUGAGAAAGGAAAGGACUUCUACAACGGCAACAGCAAGAGAAAGAAGAGGAAGAUAACCACCUAGCAGUUAGUACUUGUUAUCUUGAGGAAAGCUGCUUAAGGAGGAAGCUGAGACUCUACAGGAAGCCUUUCAGGAGAAGGAAAUCAAUGAGAGUGAUGGACAGCUUUUCUCCAAUCUAUAUUUAGGGAAAGUGAAAAUGUACAGAUGAAUGUAGCAAAAAAAAAAAAAAAAAUUAGAAAAAAAAAAAAGACAAAAAACACUAGGAGUAAAUUUAGUGCUUCUAAUUAAAUUGAAUGAUCACUUCAUAGUCCUGAUUUUGCUCCCCUCUAUCUUGGGUCAGUAGUUCCUUAUUCUGAUCAUCCCAUGAGGUUCAGUAGGAAUUCUCUCAGUGUGACCGAAGGUCUUCUUUGCGAACCCAGGAAGUACAAGCAGCUUUAUCUAGAAGGUGGCAAGUGAAAAGACAUAUGACAUUUUGUAUUUUUGCAUGCAAAUAAUCAGAAUCAGUUUGCCAACCAGGAGACAGAUACUAACAGAAAUGUUUAGAUGUUAUGUAACAAAUUCAAAAACGGCACUAGCUUUUCUCUUUUUACAUCUGACAUAUACCUGUGCCCAUUAUUCAGAAGUUAUUUAAAUAACAUAAAAUCUCUGCACUCUUCUGGGGAAGCCUUUCCUACAGCUUUCAUUUUCUGCACCUAUUGUCUAAGUAGCUUCCUCCCACUGUUAUGUAUCUGAAAGUCUGUGCUUCUGCAAGCCAGGUAACUGCUUUGACAAAAAAGCAUAUUAGAUGCCUGCAGAUCCCACUAGAGCAGGCUCUGCACCUCCAACCAUACCACACUUAAAGGGGUAUGAAUUAUGUUUCUAAUAUUAUCACUUUCUUGACUUCCACUUGGGAACCAUCUGUCAGAGCAACACCACCCAAAUUACAGCAGGGUCUCCAUGAUGCUGGCUGGUCUGAGCACAUGUGUAAAGCUUCUGCCCAAAGAGAUGGGAAGAAGAAAUGGUUCAAGUUAAAUAAAUUUACUGCUGGUAUUCA
RNAcentral lists this long non-coding RNA (1910 nucleotides) under Anas platyrhynchos platyrhynchos (common mallard). RNAcentral describes it as "lncRNA (ENSAPLG00000019532.1)". The record is from RNAcentral. Lineage: Eukaryota; Metazoa; Chordata; Aves; Anseriformes; Anatidae.